This 1095-nucleotide long non-coding RNA is filed under the name Homo sapiens (human). Its description in RNAcentral is "HSALNT0299371". Lineage: Eukaryota; Metazoa; Chordata; Mammalia; Primates; Hominidae. The record is from RNAcentral.
CUUAAAAUACAACCAUUUUCCCAGAUAAAUAUAGCAUAUCAUUGAGCUAAUCAAAAAUGGAUUCUUUUCUCUUAUAUUGACAAAUCUCUACUCUGAACUUAACACCAGAGUUAGCCAAAUUUUAAUAAAGAUCUUUAACAGCAAAGCUAGUUAACAGUUAAUAUUAAAGCAAAUCCAAACUCCGGAACGCUCUCAUUUUCUAUUGUUUUUCGUCACUUCCAAAUCCUCCCAAACACAAUAGACUCAAGACAAGUCUUGGCUUUGUACCAGUGGGGAAAAGUCUCUCUUCCUCUUCUAUUUAGAUCGUGCCACAAGAGCCUAAAGGCUCUCCUGGUGGUACACAAAGAGUUCUUUACAUUAGAAAUGCAUAAAAUGCUUUCUAGCUUUGUUCUAUAGUCCUUGACCCGGUAACUGGACCCAAAAAGUAAACUUCUGGGCUCUGAUGGUAAAGAACAAGUGCAGUUUAUCAGAAAAACGUACUUAGAAAACCACAUUAGAAAGAUGCAUCAGCAAAAUAUUCUGCACACCUACACCCAAACUUUCAGCUCCUCUCUGUCUAAUUCAAUGGCUACCUGAACUGAAUUCAUUCUCCCAAUCCCAUCCCUUUCAUUAUAGUUUUUAUUUGUUUGAAUCUGUGUGUUAAAACACAGAAGAGAAAUUUGCAGGUUGAAAUGCUGUCUUCAAAAUCAUAAGCUGGAAAAUAGGAGUUCUAGAGGGUCAAGAUUUUAACAUGAAAGAGAUGUACAGAAUAACUUCACUGAAAAAUAAAGGGAAAAUAAAUGAGAACCACUGGGAGAGAAGAGAAAAAUACAUGAUAAGGAAAAAGAAAACAAUACAGAAUAAAAGAAAGAGAAGGAAAAAGGUAUAGGAGGGAGAAAGAGAAGGGGAAAGGUAUAGGAGGGAGAAAGAGAAGGGGGAAGGUAUAGGAGGGAGAAAGAGAAGGGGAAGGUAUAGGAGGGAGAAAGAGAAGGGGGAAGGUAUAGGAGGGAGAAAGAGAAGGGGAAGGUAUAGGAGGGAGAAAGAGAAGGGGAAGGUAUAGGAGGGAGAAAGAGAAGGGGAAGGUAUAGGAGGGAGAAAGUAAAGGGAACAUGAAAA